Molecule: long non-coding RNA, 1558 nt
Filed under: Rattus norvegicus (Norway rat)
Lineage: Eukaryota; Metazoa; Chordata; Mammalia; Rodentia; Muridae
Description: long non-coding RNA NONRATT025503
Source: RNAcentral
GGACGUUCCUGAGUACACUGGAGCACUUCCUGAGCCGCUACCUGAAGGACGUGCGGCAGCACCACGUGAAGGCCGACAAGCGGGACCCUGAGUUUGUCUUCUAUGACCAGCUGAAGCAAGUGAUGAACGCUUACAGGUGAGUGGUGGGCCAGAGUCCAGGGCACCACCAUCUGUGGGGAUGACCAUUCUCCCGUCCUUGACCCCAUGGACUGUCCCUCAGGGUCAAGCCAGCCAUCUUUGACCUGCUGCUGGCCUUGUGCAUUGGGGCGUACCUGGGCAUGGCAUACACAGCCGUCCAGGUAGGUGAACGACUGUGCAAGCGUCUGGGGUGGGUGGGGGCUGGCUCUCCAGUGUCCCUCAUGCAUUGUUCUUCCCACCAGCACUUCCAUGUGCUGUACAAGACGGUGCAGAGACUGCUGCUCAAGGCCAAGGCACAGUGACAGUGGCCAUGCACAGGUGGCCCAGGAGGUCCUAGCCCACGCACCCACAGCAGCCAGACUGAACCACAGAGGGUUUGGAUGGGUCACUAGGAUGCAGGGACACCUCUCCCUGUCCAUUUCUUUGUCCCUGGAGGAGAGCCCCGCCCGCCUGCAGACGAGCCCACUGGGAUGGAAUGAUGACCCGGGCCACAUGCACUGAAGGGCCGCACACUGCUGUUGGCCUCCCCAGUGGCUGGGUCCCAGAAGCCUGUCUCUGCAGUUCCCCAGAGGCAGCCACCGUCAGCCUGCCUCGCCCCAGCACUGGCCAGCACCCGACAAUGUCUCCCUGAUGCUCCUCCUCAUACCCCUGUCCCGCCUGUUGUCACCUCUGCCACCAUUGAACCCACCUGGUCCCCCAGCUGGAUCUGAGCCACCUGAGGUUCUGGCCCCUCCUGCAAGCGUCCCUUCGCUCAGUCCCAGUGCUGGUGACUGAGCAGGAGUUGGCCCUGGUCUGGAGUGUGUGCAGUUCUGAGGUCUCCCCACCUUCUACACUGCCCCCCCAGCCUCAGUUUCCCUACCUGAGAUACAUUCUGGGAAGUCCAGUCCUCUGUCAUAGUGUCUGAUGGGACAACCAGGCCUAGCACAGCCCUGGAUGUCCCCAACAGGAUGGCCUUGGGAGGGGGACACCGGUGCUGAUGGUUGACCUCAGGGACCCCACAGUGAAUUGAUUCAAUUGAUUCAAUAGCAAUAUGACCCAGGAGGUGUCAGGCGGGGCAGCGGAGGCCAUCUGAAGACCAGCUGCUUGCAUCCCUCUAGCACCUGCUGAGGCCUGGCUCCCCCCACCCACCGUAGGCUGCCUCGGUUCAGCAGUGGUGGCUGCCACCCUGGUGGCACUCGUGUCAUAGGACGAGGGGGGUCAGCCUCCUGCCCUGGCCCUGGGCACUCUCGUUCCCCUCACUACUCUUAACCUGGCAGCUGGUUACGGGUCUGAGGCCAGUGCCACCUGCCACUGAAGAAGUACACAGGGCAUGUGCCACCUCCCUCUGUCCCGAUGGGUCAUGGGGAUGGAUUGGCCCCUUGGGGUGGCCGUGGGUCUGCAGUUGGUGGGUUACAAAAUAAAAGCCAUAUUGAAGGACCGA